UGCCAAUAUUUUUUUUCUGCUGAUGACAACAGAUAUAAGAACUAAGGUGACUUCUCUAGAUAAAGAUCAUCUAAAGACAGCCCCCACAAGGAACAGGAUCAUCCCUGUAAAAUCUUCAAGAACAGAACCCAGUGCCUCACCUGUGUCUUGCCACUAUGAGCAUUGAACACAUCCUUGCUGCUCACUUUGAUGGAUCCAUUUAUGGUGGGCAGUCCCUGCUCGCAUUACACAGUUCAUCAGAAGCAACAACAGAUAUGCGUCCUGCUCCAGUAUGCCAAGGAGGAAGACCCCUGCCCCCACCAAAACAAGAACUAAACUAAGCCUGUCUUUUCAUGCUGUUCAAAAUGCAGAAGUAAAGAAGAAAAGAAUCACCA
This 374-nucleotide long non-coding RNA is filed under the name Bos mutus (wild yak). Its description in RNAcentral is "lncRNA (ENSBMUG00000012146.1)". The record is from RNAcentral. Lineage: Eukaryota; Metazoa; Chordata; Mammalia; Artiodactyla; Bovidae.